UCUCCCCCUGCCUCUCUCGCUGUGGGUCUGUGGGUGAUCACCAAUGCAAUGUCACAUUUCUGCAAAAUCCUCAAAAGGAGGCAAAAGCAAGUGUCAUUGGCCAGGUUCCUUGUUCAAGUUGCACUAAAAGGAAAACAGUCCACUGAGCGAUAGAUAGCAGUGGUUCCAUUAGUGAUAGUGAAAGUCGCGCUACACAAUAACCCUCUUCUCUCGUCUCCCUCAUACCAGCCACGAAGGCUUUCAAAGGUGUUUGGGAUAUGGAGAUGAAGAAGACUCUAAUGUGUGUGGAAGAAAGAAGAGUGAGCAAACCAUCCUCUGUCUCCUCCAGCUCAAGGUUCCAUUUUGCACACCAAGAAGGCAAGGCUCACGGUUUAGGAAUCUUUUCCAAGAUGAUGAAGCAAUGGAGGUGGGAGGGUGGCCAAGAUAUAGGCUUCUGAAGGAUUUGUGCACCAGCACCCCGAUCUUUCUACUGCUCGAGUGAAAGAAAAAAGAAAUUGUUCACUGAAGUUUUUCUGUUGAGAAGACUUUGUUAUUCUGUGUCUCUGGAAUAAAAAAAGUAAGACCUCGUUCUGUUUCUCCAUUCCCCGGUGUCUUCCUCUUUGGAAAUCAAAGC
Leopardus geoffroyi (Geoffroy's cat) is the source of this 613-nucleotide long non-coding RNA. RefSeq lists it as uncharacterized. The record is from RefSeq and is a predicted model, not a curated record. The transcript is spliced from 3 exons. NCBI's taxonomy places the organism in Eukaryota, Metazoa, Chordata, Mammalia, Carnivora, Felidae.